Molecule: ribosomal RNA, 568 nt
Filed under: uncultured bacterium
Lineage: Bacteria
Description: bacterial SSU rRNA
Rfam family: Bacterial small subunit ribosomal RNA
Source: RNAcentral
CCUACGGGAGGCAGCAGUGGGGAAUAUUGCACAAUGGGCGAAAGCCUGAUGCAGCGACGCCGCGUGAGGGAUGACGGCCUUCGGGUUGUAAACCUCUUUCAGCAGGGAAGAAGCGAAAGUGACGGUACCUGCAGAAGAAGCACCGGCUAACUACGUGCCAGCAGCCGCGGUAAUACGUAGGGUGCGAGCGUUGUCCGGAAUUAUUGGGCGUAAAGAGCUUGUAGGCGGUUUGUCGCGUCUGCUGUGAAAAUCCGGGGCUCAACCCCGGACUUGCAGUGGGUACGGGCAGACUAGAGUGUGGUAGGGGAGACUGGAAUUCCUGGUGUAGCGGUGAAAUGCGCAGAUAUCAGGAGGAACACCGAUGGCGAAGGCAGGUCUCUGGGCCACUACUGACGCUGAGAAGCGAAAGCAUGGGGAGCGAACAGGAUUAGAUACCCUGGUAGUCCAUGCCGUAAACGUUGGGAACUAGGUGUGGGUCUCAUUCCACGAGAUCCGUGCCGCAGCUAACGCAUUAAGUUCCCCGCUGGGGAGUACGGCCGCAAGGCUAAAACGUCAAAGGAAUUGACGG